UCUCACAUGAGAACACUGCCUGGAUGCAUC
This 30-nucleotide non-coding RNA is filed under the name Macaca fascicularis (crab-eating macaque). The record is from RNAcentral. Lineage: Eukaryota; Metazoa; Chordata; Mammalia; Primates; Cercopithecidae. RNAcentral also lists the same sequence under 1 other name.